RNAcentral lists this ribosomal RNA (115 nucleotides) under Pteropus alecto (black flying fox). The record is from RNAcentral. Lineage: Eukaryota; Metazoa; Chordata; Mammalia; Chiroptera; Pteropodidae.
GUCUACGGCCAUGCCACCCUGAACAAGCCCGAUGUCUGAUCUCGGAAGCUAAGCAGGGUCAGGCCUGGUUAGUACUUAAAUGAGAGACCACCUGGAAGACCAGGUGCUGUAGGUG